Molecule: long non-coding RNA, 921 nt
Filed under: Olea europaea (common olive)
Lineage: Eukaryota; Viridiplantae; Streptophyta; Magnoliopsida; Lamiales; Oleaceae
Description: long non-coding RNA (OEUR_LNC003472)
Source: RNAcentral
GAAAAGACAUAUUGCACAUAAAUUUAAAAAAAUUUCAUAUCAUUUACCAAAUAUUUUCCAAAAAAUUACUAUUCAAAGAUCUUUUUUUUUUUUUUUUUUCCAAAUAACGGCUAUCAAAUAAGAUAAAAUGGGACUCAAACAAAUCCUCAAAAUAACCGUCACAAAUGUAGCAAAGUUUUAUUUUGGUUAAACUUUGUUUACUGAUGUGUUUACCCUAAUCUAGGUAUGAUACAAGAUUAGCGGAAACGAAAUCAAGUCAUGUUCAAUUAAGUAUUAUUUCAAUAUCGCUGUUUUCCCCAAAGCUAUAUGCAAUGAAUAAUGCUUAUCCUCCAAGAUUGAUCUCAACAUGUUUCUUCAUGAAAAGAGAAGCAUUGUAACGAAUAUAAUUUGAUUUCUUUUAAUCUCUUCGUAUAAAAAUAAUCAAGUUGUCAUCUAAAUCAAUCAUCAUAGCAAUAAGAUUGAUGUAAUUUAAGGAGACGGAAAGAUUAUCGUAACUGCUUUCCAAACCGGCCUCUCAUACAAAAGCAUAUUAAUGGAUUUUACCUAGUCACAUAGACUUCAAGCUAACGGACAAAAUCAAAAUGUAGAUGAAUUAUAAUCUGCAAUUCCACUAACGAACAAAAUAAAAAUUGUAGAUUAAUUACAAUCCACAAUUCUUUCAUCAUUCUUCCUUUCUAUCGUGAAGAAACUAUAAAACAAAGCCUUGAUUUAGACUUGUGAGGUCAGAGAAAUCAGUAGCUUGUAACGAGUUCUCUUGAAUUUCUGACAUGUGAUCUAUGCACUAUGACAUUUAACUUGUAAAUUGUUACAUGUGAUAUUGAUCCAAUAGCAUGUAACCAGUUCUCUUAAAUAUAUGACAUGAAGAUAUUGAUUUGUUACCCAUGUAAUAUAAUCUGUGACAUGUAAUAAUAUGAAUGUGAC